GAAAGCCGUGUGCGGGAAAACCGCAUGCACGGAUUGAUGAGGGAGGGCAGGGGCAGGGCCGAAUAGGGAGAUAUCCUCGUCUAACGAAAGUGACGGGAACGCAUACCGAUUCUAUUCAUGCUCGAACCUGUUCUCUACUCUAC
Non-coding RNA from Geobacter sp. M18, 143 nucleotides. The record is from Rfam. NCBI's taxonomy places the organism in Bacteria, Pseudomonadati, Thermodesulfobacteriota, Desulfuromonadia, Geobacterales, Geobacteraceae.